Molecule: long non-coding RNA, 630 nt
Organism: Homo sapiens (human)
Lineage: Eukaryota; Metazoa; Chordata; Mammalia; Primates; Hominidae
Exons: 3
Source: RefSeq, a predicted model, not a curated record
AUUUGCAUUCGGUGUGACAUUGCCAUCCAAAACAAAGAGGCCCAAGUGUCUGCGGCUGAGAAAACUCACAAAGACUUUUGUGCGGGGUCUGAAACCGCCAAUCCUCAGUUACAAGUGAGUGGAAACAAAGCCGUGGAAUAAAGCAGAGACCGAGAGCCAACCCCCUCUUCGGUUAUUCUGCAACUCUUGUAGGCCAAAUCGCUCGAUGUCCCCCAGUUUGUUUGGCAUUGUGUGGAUGUUUCUUCAGAAGAAAAGCCCGAGGUACCUGAUUUACCUCCAAGACUGAGAUCAGAACAGGAAGAUCUGGGCUUCUGACCCCGCCCUUGGGGAAGAAGCACCUGGGUUCUGCGCAAAUUAUAUCCCAGAAACCAGGAAUUGAUCUAGCAAGAAAGUUGGAGGUGACCAGAGGAGCAGGGAGGAAGAAAACUGUUCAAAGAACCCCGCCAUCUCCAUGAAAACAAGCCCAUGUUAGCCUGCUGGAGGAAGAGAUACCAUAAGCAGGAGAACCAAGGUACCCCAGUUGACAGCCAGCUCACCCCCAGAAGCAGAGCUAAACAUACACACAUACACACACCACACACAUAGAGCUGAGUUGAGACCAGAAGAAUGGCCCAGCUGAGCCCAGCCUAA